AAAUUAACUUUACAAGUAACAAUUUAACUUACAUGCUAACCUAUUAUUACUAGAGACUCAUAUGUUCCAGCUCAGAGAAACUCUCCAGCCAGCAGCACUAAAAUUACUUUAGAAUAGCUUUACCACAAUUACUAGGAGAACUCCUUUGGCCUUAAAUAAUAGCACAUGAAUAGCAGUAGCCUAUGAGGUUUUAAAGGCAACACACUCACGUAUAUCUUUCUUCAUUGGAUGUUUCCAUGAGAAAAGGUUUCUGCUUGGAUCAAGUGUGAGUUUUUGAAAUCCUCUGAGAACAUUGGGCUUACAGUCAAGGCCAGUGUCCUGACAUUCUGUGGCUGCUAGAAGAAAUCUAACACUAACUGUAAGUACUUCUCUUGAUCAUGCUAAAUUAGUGCAAAAGCCAGAUGAACAAAUGCUGCUGCUCCUCUGUUUCUCACAGGCAGAGUUCUGGUGCUUCCAAACAGUACUGCCCACUACCUCCACCCUCUCUGCCAUCCAGAACAACAGAAGCACAGGUGCAGCAAGUAGAAAAUGAGAAGGGCAAUAAGUCUAUCUUCACUACGGAUUCUGCCUGAUCCCAACUAUAUUCCCACAGUAUGUUGCAGCUAUGGCCUUGCAAUAAGUAAUGGAUUUUGAUGGUCUUUGUGGAUUGGCUGUGGAUUAUGAGCCCAGACUACUAUAUAAAGUACUCAGCCAAGGAAGAGGGCAACAUUUCCAACUGAUGAAGGAAGUUAAACUCAUUAACAUCUGAAUGGGGAGCUGAAAUUAUUUGAAACGUGAAAAUUUAUCACGGACUACAUUUAGUGUUCUACAGAAUAGUGAGAUCAAGUCUGCAUAGAUCUCUGAGUUAGUGCUAAGUGAAAUGACUGAGACCAGAACACUUUAAAAUGAUAAAUUCUUUACUGUUUUAUAACGCUUUUCCCUAUAUUCAUAGACUUUAGGUUGCUUAUGAAAAGUCUGUGUAUUUGCUCUCACACAUUAACUACUUUGUUGUUAAUUUGCUUUUAUUUUAUUAUUAUUUUUUUUCUUCUGAAGCAUAGAAAACAACAGCUUAAUUCAGUGCUCCAUUAUACCCAGGAAAAAUUUUAAAAAAAAUAACCUAAACAUUAGAAUAACUUAGAAAUAAAUAAAUAAAUAAAUAAAGGUGGUUUUUUUUG
RNAcentral lists this long non-coding RNA (1154 nucleotides) under Coturnix japonica (Japanese quail). RNAcentral describes it as "lncRNA (ENSCJPG00005003314.1)". Lineage: Eukaryota; Metazoa; Chordata; Aves; Galliformes; Phasianidae. The record is from RNAcentral.